Molecule: long non-coding RNA, 377 nt
Organism: Dendronephthya gigantea
Lineage: Eukaryota; Metazoa; Cnidaria; Anthozoa; Malacalcyonacea; Nephtheidae
Exons: 4
Source: RefSeq, a predicted model, not a curated record
CAUAUCGAUGAUGCACAUGACCAAAAAGACGAUCAUCUGAAAAGGUCAGAUUGGAAUUUGUCAGAAGAAAGAAGCGUCAGUUAAGUACACAAAGUGACCGCGCCAAAUGCUCCGACCACAAUCAUCUAAAGUAGUAAAAGAUACAUAAAGAUAAGUGAAACCAUAGCAACGACCGGGGUGGAGUGUUACCUAUACUGCCAAGCCAUGCAGUGUUUGGUAAAUAUAGCAAGUGUAUACAUGAGUCACAGGAGUAGAUUAACCACAACAAACAGCCUCCAUGUAAUAACAGUCAUACAAAGAAGAGAGAAUGAGGCAGCCUCUUUGGAAGCAUGAUAAAUUACUGGUCCAAAAAACAUACAUUCAUCAUCCGGAUGGGC